CGACCUCAGAUCAGACGUGGCGACCCGCUGAAUUUAAGCAUAUUAGUCAGCGGAGGAAAAGAAACUAACGAGGAUUCCCUCAGUAACGGCGAGUGAAGAGGGAAGAGCCCAGCGCCGAAUCCCCGCCCCGCGGUGGGGCGCGGGAGCUGUGGCGUACAGAAGCCCCCCUCCCCGGCGCGGCUCUCGGGGGACCCAAGUCCUUGUGAUCGAGGCCGCAGCCCGCGGACGGUGUGAGGCCGGUAGCGGCCCCCCGGCGCGCCGGG
This 263-nucleotide non-coding RNA is filed under the name Podiceps cristatus (great crested grebe). Its description in RNAcentral is "Eukaryotic large subunit ribosomal RNA". It matches the Rfam family "Eukaryotic large subunit ribosomal RNA", at positions 1 to 245 of the family's 3401-position model. The record is from Rfam by way of RNAcentral. Lineage: Eukaryota; Metazoa; Chordata; Aves; Podicipediformes; Podicipedidae.